GUGAACGCUGGCGGUAGGCCUAACACAUGCAAGUCGAACGGCACCACAGUAAGAGCUUGCUCUUACGGGUGGCGAGUGGCGGACGGGUGAGGAAUACAUCGGAAUCUACUUUUUCGUGGGGGAUAACGUAGGGAAACUUACUCUAAUACCGCAUACUACCUACGGGUGAAAGCAGGGGAUCUUCGGCCCUUGCGCGAUUGAAUGAGCCGAUGUCGGAUUAGCUAGUUGGCGGGGUAAAGGCCCACCAAGGCGACGAUCCGUAGCUGGUCUGAGAGGAUGAUCAGCCACACUGGAACUGAGACACGGUCCAGACUCCUACGGGAGGCAGCAGUGGGGAAUAUUCGACAAUGGGCGCAAGCCUGACCCAGCCAUACCGCGUGGGUGAAGAAGGCCUUCGGGUUGUAAAGCCCUUUUGUUGGGAAAGAAAAGCAGCAGGUUAAUAUCCCGCUGUUCUGACGGUACCCAAAGAAUAAGCACCGGCUAACUUCGUG
This 491-nucleotide ribosomal RNA is filed under the name uncultured bacterium. RNAcentral describes it as "partial 16S ribosomal RNA". It matches the Rfam family "Bacterial small subunit ribosomal RNA", at positions 29 to 507 of the family's 1533-position model. The record is from RNAcentral.